Molecule: long non-coding RNA, 324 nt
Organism: Oncorhynchus keta (chum salmon)
Lineage: Eukaryota; Metazoa; Chordata; Actinopteri; Salmoniformes; Salmonidae
Exons: 3
Source: RefSeq, a predicted model, not a curated record
GGGGAAAACAGAAUGAGAGGUUGUAAUCAGGGGGAAACAGAAUGAGAGGUUGUAAUCAGGGGGAAACAGAAUGAGAGGUUGUAAUCAGGGGAAAAACAGAAUGAGAGGUUGUAAUCAGGGGGAAACAGAAUGAGAGGUUGUAAUCAGGGGAAAACAGAAUGAGAGGUUGUAAUCAGGGGAAAAACAGAAUGAGAGGUUGUAAUCAGGGGAAACAGAAUGAGAGGUUGUAAUCAGGGGAAAACAGAAUGAGAGGUUGUAAUCAGGGGAAAACAGAAUGAGAGGUUGUAAUCAGGGAAAACAGAAUGAGAGGUUGUAAUCAGGGGA